Molecule: non-coding RNA, 466 nt
Organism: Callorhinus ursinus (northern fur seal)
Lineage: Eukaryota; Metazoa; Chordata; Mammalia; Carnivora; Otariidae
Source: RefSeq, a predicted model, not a curated record
UGGACACAUGGAUGGAAAGGCCUCCAGAUGAUUCCACCCCCCUCACCAUGUGAGUCUUCCCAGCUCACCCCCCAGAUCUGUGGAGCAGGAGGAAAGCCAACACCAUUGCGUCCUGUCUAAAUUGUGACCCACAAAAUCCAUGAGCAAAGUAAAAGUUGGUCGAGCCACAUGAGGCACCGCGUAUCCACAGACAACUCGCAAGGCACGGCAGAUCAAGGAAGUGUGGAAAAUGCCGGCUCCAGUGAGUUUCUUACCACGAGCGAGAACUUGAAUGUGCCCCUGCCCAGGAGGAUGGCGAUGAUGAAAUACGAAGAGUGAAGGCCACUUGUCUGACCGAGUGUCUCGUGAACCCGGUCCCACUGGCUGCCCUUGGGUCCCAGAAGCUACUUGUCCAGAGGAGGCCCCACAUCCAAGGCAUGUCCCAUGAAGCAACCUCCACGAUGGCCAAUGUGGGAUCCCCUAGGGA